RNAcentral lists this long non-coding RNA (218 nucleotides) under Setaria italica (foxtail millet). RNAcentral's name for it is "long non-coding RNA (SITA_LNC003050)". Lineage: Eukaryota; Viridiplantae; Streptophyta; Magnoliopsida; Poales; Poaceae. The record is from RNAcentral.
GACUACGUACGACUACGUGAUCGUCUUCACUGCAUCGACGCAUAUCUACAUCUUCCGCACCAGUAGUGCGUCGAGUGGUAAUCCCGUGAUCCUUAUACGGCAGUUCUUCCUGGUUAUACGCGGUAGAUUUUUUUGAAUUGCGCUAGUGUAGCCUACCUCGUAUCCCAACACGAACCCAUAAGGUUCAUACCUUUUUGGUGAAACAAAUCUGCCGCGCC